GUCUAUGGCCAUACCACCCUGAACGCGCCCUAUCUCAUCUGAUCUUGGAAGCUAAGUAGGGUCGGGCCUGGUUAGUACUUGGAUGGGAAAAUAGCUACAUAAAUA
Molecule: ribosomal RNA, 105 nt
Filed under: Callithrix jacchus (white-tufted-ear marmoset)
Lineage: Eukaryota; Metazoa; Chordata; Mammalia; Primates; Cebidae
Source: RNAcentral